Mytilus californianus (California mussel) is the source of this 1110-nucleotide long non-coding RNA. RefSeq lists it as uncharacterized. NCBI's taxonomy places the organism in Eukaryota, Metazoa, Mollusca, Bivalvia, Mytilida, Mytilidae. The transcript is spliced from 4 exons. The record is from RefSeq and is a predicted model, not a curated record.
CAUGAAAAUGACGAACUACAUAAUUAGUAAACACGUUAAAUAAGUUGAUAUUAUAGUACUAGCAAACUUAUGAUCCUGUAUCAUUUGUUGACAUCCGUUUUAAGUAUACAAAACAUGCAUUUUAUUCAGUUUGCUUAAUUCCCGCCAAAAUCGUCCUUUUGGCACCGUCUUUUGACGUUGUCAGUGCCCCUCAGUAUACACCUUAUCGCUAUUUGUCCACCAUUACUGGACAUCACACAAGUUCCCGUAAAAUUUUGACGUCAUAAUAGAAAAUAUCUGACGCCACAAUGGAAAAGUGAUUGUUGUGUGACGUCAAAAGUUCGAGCGGGACAGAUUCUCGGGUCAAGCGGGAAUAGCGAUAAGGUGUAUUGUGACGUUACCAUGGACCUUUGACGUUCUACACAAUCAACAAGAUUUGUGUGUAGAAUGUCAUAAAUGUGCCUUUGGCAGCAAGAGUAGGCGAACGACAAGCUCAAAUGGUUAUCUGUUGACUGUUUACAACAGUAUGGGAUUUGCUAAAAUGCUAUACUGUGCUACUGUUUUGAUAUUCGGAUGUAUUAUGUUGUCGUCUGCUUGCAAACUUUCCGAACAUACUAUCCUGAGAGUCGAGAAAAAGCUGAAAGAAAAGAUGCUAAAAAUAAAUAUAGGAAAGAUACUUAGAAAAAAUAUAGUCAAGAAAGCGUGUUUUAAAGAAGUGUCAUACAAGAAACAUACAGGUCAAAGUUCAACCUAUAACCAUGGUUUCCCUUCACGUUAUGGUGUUGACAACGAUCGAUCUACAAUGUUUUGUACGAACAAGGAACGUGAUCCAUAUUGGUGGGUAUUCUUCGGAAAACCCUACGCAAUUCGUCGUGUCGAAAUGUGGAAUACAAGAUUAGAAGGUAGAAGAUUACGUGAAGUAGAAGUUACGGUUGGUUUCAGUUUAAAAAGAAGGAUGGUGCUAUGCAAGAGAUACAAAGGCCCGGCUAGGAAUGGACAGCACUUAACUCUGAAUUGCAACCGUGGUAUAUAUGGACAUUAUGUCAAGAUUACCUUAAAAGCCUUUGAAUACCUCCAUCUACUUGAAGUUAAGGUGUUUGCAGAAUGUUGAAUUAACUUAUUAAAGAUUGA